Molecule: ribosomal RNA, 492 nt
Filed under: uncultured bacterium
Lineage: Bacteria
Description: partial 16S ribosomal RNA
Rfam family: Bacterial small subunit ribosomal RNA
Source: RNAcentral
AGUGAACGCUGGCGGUAGGCCUAACACAUGCAAGUCGAACGGCAGCACAGUAAGAGCUUGCUCUUACGGGUGGCGAGUGGCGGACGGGUGAGGAAUACAUCGGAAUCUACUUUUUCGUGGGGGAUAACGUAGGGAAACUGACGCUAAUACCGCAUACGACCUACGGGUGAAAGCAGGGGUUCUUCGGACCUUGCGCGACUGAAUGAGCCGAUGUCGGAUUAGCUAGUUGGCGGGGUAAAGGCCCACCAAGGCGACGAUCCGUAGCUGGUCUGAGAGGAUGAUCAGCCACACUGGAACUGAGACACGGUCCAGACUCCUACGGGAGGCAGCAGUAGGGAAUAUUGGGCAAUGGGCGCAAGCCUGAUCCAGCAAUGCCGCGUGGGUGAAGAAGGCCUUCGGGUUGUAAAGCCCUUUUGUUGGGAAAGAAAAACAGCGGAUUAAUACCCCGCUGUUCUGACGGUACCCAAAGAAUAAGCACCGGCUAACUUCGUG